This 274-nucleotide ribosomal RNA is filed under the name uncultured bacterium. RNAcentral's name for it is "partial 16S ribosomal RNA". It matches the Rfam family "Bacterial small subunit ribosomal RNA", at positions 523 to 796 of the family's 1533-position model. The record is from RNAcentral.
AUACGGAGGGGGCUAACGUUAUUCGGAAUUACUGGGCGUAAAGCGCACGUAGGCGGCGUAUCAAGUUAGAGGUGAAAGCCCUGGGCUCAACCCGGGAAUGGCCUUUAAGACUGAUAUGCUUGAGUUCGGAAGAGGGUAGUGGAAUUCCAAGUGUAGAGGUGAAAUUCGUAGAUAUUUGGAAGAACACCAGUGGCGAAGGCGGCUACCUGGUCCGAUACUGACGCUGAGGUGCGAAAGCGUGGGGAGCAAACAGGAUUAGAAACCCCGGUAGUCC